GUAAAUCUCACUUAAUUUAUUGUAUAUAAUUUUACUUUUCAUUUGUUACAUGGAACAAAAAAUCAAUAAAUGUUUUUAUCUUGUUAGAGACCCAUGAUGGAGUCCAGGAUAUGGCUUGUGACACAUUUAUUAAAAUAGCUCAAAAAUGCCGUAGGCAUUUUGUUCAGGUUCAAGUUGGAGAAGUAAUGCCGUUCAUUGAUGAGAUUUUAAACAACAUAAAUACUAUAAUUUGUGAUCUUCAGCCUCAGCAGGUAUAAAAGUUACUAUGCUUAUUAUUAAAUGCACAUGAGUUUUUUCUUGCAUAUGUUUGUGUGUGUACACCUCCUGUGUUUGAAGAAACAGGAAAGAGGGUAUCAAGAACCAUGGAGCUAGAGUUACUUAGACGUUGGCCACUGUCUGGGUGAUUAGGCUUGAAUCUUGAGUUCCUGGAAGUGUAGUCAGUCUGCAUAACUAUUGAGUCCCCUCAGUGGUUCUUGUUUAUAGACGCACUAUGCUUUGGAGGAUGGCGAGCAGCUCAGUGGUUCAGAGUGGAGGGGCCCUGCUCUUGUAUAGGUUCCCAGCACCCACACUUAAUGCUAAUUACUCUUGUAACUCCAUGUUCAGUCUUCUCCAUUAUCAUCUUAAGGUCUCUUCAGGCUUCUACACUAUGUGUUCAUAGCCCCCCAUUCCCACAUACAUAUACAGUCAAAACUAAAAGAAAAUUAAAGAAACAGGUUAAUAAUUGGAAAAAUAAGUAUUAAUAUACUCUAAGUGUAUUUGUAAUUUGGUUACAUAUAUUUUAUAUUUGGGUGCAUGAGAGUAUGAAAAUAACAAUGUUUGCAUUUAAAAACAGGUUCAUACAUUUUAUGAAGCUGUGGGGUACAUGAUUGGUGCACAGACAGACCAGACAGUUCAAGAGCAUUUGAUAGAAAAAUACAUGCUACUCCCUAAUCAAGUGUGGGACAGUAUAAUUCAGCAGGCUACCAAAGUAAGUUUUUAUUUUUUAUGUAGGUUUUGGGUGUUUUUGUGUUUUUUCUCUGUAUUAUUUUAUUUUCAUUUUGAGUUCUAUUGAGGUUUAAGUUUCAGUCUUAGCACUUUUGAAAUGUAUACUUCAAACAGGAAUCCCUUUUCAGUUGUAAUGUUCGUGUUACCUUGAACACGACUGCUACCUACCUCUUGAGUGUUUAGCCUGUGACACAUUAUGCUAAGCCUAUCUUUACGGUCGCUCCUGGGGAUCUGAGCUUCAGACCUCAGGUUUAUGUGAAGGCCUUAACCCACUCAGCUAUAUUCCUUACUGUAUAAGUGCUUUCAUGUGAGUUUGAACAAUUGAAACAUUAUAGAAGUCAGAUGUGGUAGUGCAUAAGCAUAAUCCUAACACUUAGAAAUAGAGGCCAGGAGUAAAAGUUAAAAGCCAUCCUUGGCAACAUAACAAGUUGGAAAUCCGCUGAGACCCAGAGCACUCUGAUCAACAUAAGAGAAAGACAGAAAAGGUGACAGGAUUUUGUUUUGUGUGGGAUCAUGAUAGUUGAGACAGUUUACUGUGGGCUCCUAGGGGACCUGGAGAGAUGUGCUGCCAAGACACACACAUUCUGUUUGAUCUUACUUAGGUGAGACUGUUUUCACUUCACUCUUUAGGUUUUUAAGUACUUGAGCUUUAGGUAUGAUUAAGCUUGGCACCGCCUGUUUGUAAAAUAUCUUAGGACUGAGCUAUAACCCAGGCCUUGUGUUGUCUUUUGAGAUUUCAAAUAAGAUGAAGUUUUCAAUAAAUGAGGUUGUGCUUUAUUGUGAUAAUUUCAGAAUGUGGAUAUCCUGAAAGAUCCUGAAACAGUCAAGCAGCUGGGUAGCAUAUUAAAAACAAAUGUGAGAGCCUGCAAAGCUGUUGGUCAUCCCUUUGUAAUUCAGCUUGGCAGAAUUUAUUUAGACAUGCUUAAUGUAUAUAAGUGCCUCAGUGAAAAUAUUUCUGCAGCUAUUCAAGCUAAUGGUAAGUGAUUCUUGCUUCUUGGGGAGGUAGAAUGCUGGAUAAAGGGUUUCUGCUUUCACUGUCUUACCCUUUCUGCUCUUCUCACAUUUAAGUAAACCUGCUGUCUGGGGUCAAAAGGUCCAAGACCCUUUCUCAACAAUUGCUUGGUUGAUUAGUCUUGCCUAGUUAACUAAGAUUAGUCUUGCCUACAAGUAUAGUUUUAUUAACAGAGUAACUAUUUUGCAAAAUGCCCAAAGCUGUGUGUUGGAUCUUGGCUAUUUGGUGGUUUGCACUUUGGAAUUCUCUCUUCCAUUCAACCUUUCCCCCAAUAAAUUCUUUUGAAGGUACAGCUUUUUAAAUGGUCAGUGGAGUUAUAUUAUUUGCAGUAGACCUAACUUUGCAUACUAUCAGUUAGCUUAUAUUUGAUUGUUCUUCAGGUGAGAUGGUUACAAAGCAACCAUUGAUUAGAAGUAUGCGGACAGUAAAAAGGGAAACUUUAAAGUUAAUAUCUGGUUGGGUGAGCCGUUCCAAUGAUCCUCAGAUGGUAAGAUUCUUGUUUUUGUUUUUCUUUUACUUCAUAUUCUCUAAUAUAUCCUGUCUACAUGUAUUUGCUUUUAAAAGAUAGUUAAAUGUCUGUGUUUAGGGUUAUUUAGUGCUAGUAUUAGUUGGAGUCCUUUUAAAGUAAAAAAGAUAGUGAUUUAGCUUUUGAAGAAAUUUGUUUGCUACAGAUGAUGAUAAUAAAUAAGAAUGGGUUAUUUGGGGCUAUAGAUAUGUCCAAAGGUAGGUUGAAGGGUUGUUAAGAUAAAAACAAGAUGUCAAUAGAAUUCAUAUUUUAUAUCUAGGUCACUUAGGAAAUCCAGGCCAUAUAGUUCAUAAGCUGAAGCUACUACAGUGGCUGUGAGGUAGGAGGAAAAAAGAUUACAAAUUAAGGAUUUGAAUCAUCUUAACAGCCCUCAUCAGUAAUCUUGAGCUUUGAUGAUGAUCAAAGUAAAACAAAAAAAGUCACCACUUCAGAUUUAAAACUACAUAAAGAGCACUAUAGCAGAUUGCUAUGCCUGAUCCUCAUAUCAGCAACAAAAAUAGGAUCCUGCCCUAUACUCACUAUUACUGUGUGAUAUAGCUAUAAUGUUUGUGAGUAAAAUGGAAUCUGGAGCAGUCAGUAGCCAGCUCAGUGGAUGACGAAGUUUUCUGCCAAAUCUCAAUGGAUUCCAACACUGGGACCCAUAUGGUGGAAGGAGAUCAACUCCCAUAGAUGAACCUCUCUGACCUACACGUGUGUGUGUAUGUAAGCCUGAUACCUAGGACUAAAGUAUUUAUUCAUUGUCUUAAAACAGCAUCUGCUUAAUGGUGUAGGCAGAGCAGGAGAAUCACCUUUAUAGGCCAACCUGAGUUACACAGUUAGUGGUGAUGGAACACACUUUUAUUUGGGAGGCAGGGUCAGGUAGAUCUAGGAUAGCCUGGGCUACACAAAAGAGAGUCUGUGAGGUUUUUUGCUGUUUGUCUUUUGGAUUUUGUUGUUGUUUUAAAAUCCAUUGAAAGCUGGGCAUGGUGGCGCACACCUUUAAUCCCAGCACUUGGAUUUCUGAGUUCAAAGCCAGCCUGGUCUACAAAGUGAGUUCCAGGCCAGCCUGGGCUAUACAGAGAAACCCUGUCUUGAAAAAAAAAACAAAACAAAGCAAAACAAAACAAAAAAACCCAUUGAAGAUUUUAUGCUGAGAAUGGCAAAGUGAAACAUCAGUGCAGGACAAUGUAGUAUGAGGCAGGUGAAUGGUAGUGACUGGUUGCAGUUCUGGAGUGUGUGUUACUGCACUAAUAGUAUGUAUAGGCGACCACAGGAGAGCUACUGCUGUCGCUCACAGUUUGAGCACCUUUAAAAUGCAGGAAGUUCUUGAGCCUGCUUGUGCUUAGGGAAGUUACCAUAAACACUUUUUUUUUUAAAAGAUUUAUUUAUUGUUAUAUGUAAGUACACUGUAGCUGUCUUCAGACACACCAGAGGAGGGCAUCAGGUCCCAUUACAGAUGGUUGUGAGCCACCAUGUGGUUGCUGGGAUUUUAACUCAGGCCCUCUGGAAGAGCAGUCAGUGCUCUUAACCGCUGAGCCAUCUCACCAGCCCGAGCUAUUACUUUUUAUCUUCAGCUCGAACUCUGAUAAAAUUCUUCUUCUUCUUUUUUUUUUUUUUAACGUAUUCAUGUAUGUUUAGAUUGUGUAGGUACAGAGAACCACUCACUGUAUCCAGCUUUCUUCCUGAAUCAGCUUCUUCACAGCAGUGGCCACAGAAUACUGAAGUCUUCUUGGAUUUAUUUAUCCCACUGUUAAUUGAAGUCUGGUCUUAUAGUAUUUUGGAUAUAGCCAAUUCAGGACUUAUUUCUUUAUUUAGAUAUUUUCUUUAUAUACAUUUCAAAUGCUAUCCCAAAAGUCCCCCAGACCCUCUCCCCCACCCACUCCCCUAUCCACCCACUCCCACUUCUUGGCCCUGGCGUUCCCCUGUACUGAGGCAGAUAAAGUUUACAAUACCAAGGGACCUCUUUUCCCAAUGAUGGCCAACUCAGAAGAUGGGAAGAUCUCAAUUUAGGACUCUUAACUACUGAAUAUGUAUGAAGGUGGUAUUUUGGUACACACCUGUCAUCAUAGCCCUGGGAAUUGUAGCAGGAUGAAUGCCAUGAGUUUGAGUCCAACCUUGUUAUGUAAUGAGACUCACAGAUACAUUUUAAACUAACUAGUAUCUAUGGCCAUUGUUAAUGUUGACCUUACCGGUUCCUGUUGCUAAAAUAUUUUAGCAUCAUAUCUCAUCAGAUAAUCUGAAUUAUCUUAGAGACUGGAGUGACCUAUAUUACUUUACCCCCCAAACAGGUAGCUGAAAACUUUGUUCCUCCUUUGUUGGAUGCAGUUCUUAUUGAUUACCAGAGAAAUGUACCAGCUGCUAGAGAACCAGAAGUGCUUAGUACUAUGGCCAUUAUUGUCAACAAAUUAGGUGGACAUAUAACAGCUGAAAUACCUCAAAUAUUCGAUGCAGUUUUUGAGUGCACAUUGAAUAUGAUAAAUAAGGUAGGUGAUCUGUGUUUUUAUUAUAUAAUGGAAGAUUCUGUAGUAUGUUCUUCACUCCUAAAUAUAUAAAUGACAAUUAUUUUUUAGAGUUUCGAAGUCCUAGAAUUAAGUAUUAUAUUUAUAGUAAUUUAUAGUAAUUGUCAUCUUAACAGAAUCUUGACACCACCACCACCCC
RNAcentral lists this long non-coding RNA (5159 nucleotides) under Mus musculus (house mouse). RNAcentral describes it as "long non-coding RNA chr11:23284968-23290127". The record is from RNAcentral. Lineage: Eukaryota; Metazoa; Chordata; Mammalia; Rodentia; Muridae.